GCCGCUUCCUGCUGUUCUCACCAAAAAACAUGUUACUUUGACAUCACAGUUGGUUGCUAUGGAAAUGCUGAUGCUACCAAAGAUAGGACUGAGCUGAAGGGCUAUAAAAAGUCCUGGAGACCCAGCUGAGUCCAUACGCAUUUGGGAGAGGCCACUGCAGCAUUUAUUUUCGGCGGCGGCACAUUAGCCCAUUAGGGUGCCAGAAUGUGACACCAAAUUUGGAUGAGGGGACGUCACACCAAAACAGAGUGCCGUGCUGCUAGGGCAGGGAAAGUUAGGAGUAAGGGGGUAAGAAAGCAGAGAGGAAAUCAGCACCACCCUGGCAAGGAAGAACAAAGCUCCCCAAAAAGGAAGGGAUGCACCCGUCAGAAGAGGGAAUGUGUCACACCACUUCCUACAGAAGCAGCUUCUUUAUCCUUAGUCCUGCAAAAGGCAAAUGCCAAUUAUUAGCCACAGAUGAGCUGUCAUAAUGAUUUGGGUGGCAGAGAAUGGCAAAGGUGUAGGAGAGCAGAAGACAGACAGACAGUUCCUUUAUUAUUUCUGUCUCAGAAUUGCAGUGAUUCAUUCAGAAUGAGAAAUGGAGUUGCCUGAUUUAAGCACGAACCUGUCUGACUGCAGGAGAGAGAGAAAUGGGCCUGAAACGAAGCUCUAAGUUGUUUUCUUUCUCCUCCCCCUUUUCUCCCCUCCCUGUCCUGUUGACCUAUGAAGUCACGCAGUGCAAGUUCA
Long non-coding RNA from Cygnus olor (mute swan), 726 nucleotides. RefSeq lists it as uncharacterized. The record is from RefSeq and is a predicted model, not a curated record. The transcript has 2 exons. NCBI's taxonomy places the organism in Eukaryota, Metazoa, Chordata, Aves, Anseriformes, Anatidae.